UGGGGAAUAUUGGACAAUGGGGGAAAACCCGUGAUCCAGCAACGCCGCGUGUAGGAUGAAGGCCCUCGGGUUGUAAACUACUGUCACGGGUUAUGAAUGUGCAUAUGUUAACAGCGUGUGUAUUGACGUAAGCCCGAAAGGAAGCACCGGCUAACUCUGUGCCAGCAGCCGCGGUAAUACAGAGGGUGCAAACGUUGUUCGGAAUUACUGGGCAUAAAGCGCGCGUAGGCGGCGACGUAAGUGUAGGGUGAAAUCCCACGGCUCACCCGUGUGAAUUGCCCCGCAUACUGCGUUGCUCGAGUGUGGUAGGGGAGAGCGGAACUCCUGGUGGAGCGGUGAAAUGCGUAGAUAUCAGGAGGAACACCGGUGGCGUAGGCGGCUCUCUGGUCCAUAACUGACGCUGAAGUGCGAAAGCUAGGGUAGCGAACGGGAUUAGAUACCCCCGUAGUCCCUGAGCGGGCUGGCAAGGCGCAU
This 474-nucleotide ribosomal RNA is filed under the name uncultured bacterium. RNAcentral describes it as "bacterial SSU rRNA". It matches the Rfam family "Bacterial small subunit ribosomal RNA", at positions 355 to 825 of the family's 1533-position model. The record is from RNAcentral.